RNAcentral lists this ribosomal RNA (406 nucleotides) under uncultured bacterium. RNAcentral's name for it is "partial 16S ribosomal RNA". It matches the Rfam family "Bacterial small subunit ribosomal RNA", at positions 30 to 526 of the family's 1533-position model. The record is from RNAcentral.
AUUGAACGCUAGCGGCAGGCCUAACACAUGCAAGUCGAACGAGUGGCGGACGGGUGAGUAAUAUCUGGGAACCUGCCUAGUGGCGGGGGAUAACUACUGGAAACAGUAGCUAAUACCGCAUACCAUCGGAUGUGCCCAGAUCGGAUUAGCUGGUUGGUGGGGUAACGGCUCACCAAGGCCACGAUCCGUAGCUGGUCUGAGAGGAGGACCAGCCACACUGGAACUGAGACACGGCCCAGACUCCUACGUGAGGCAGCAGUGGGGAAUAUUGGACAAUGGGGGAAAGCAUGAUGCAGCCAUGCCGCGUGUAUGAAGAAGGCCUUCGGGUUGUAAAGUACUUUCGGCGGGGAGGCGUUACCUGCAGAAGAAGCACCGGCUAACUACGUGCCAGCAGCCGCGGUAAUAC